Molecule: ribosomal RNA, 253 nt
Filed under: uncultured bacterium
Lineage: Bacteria
Description: partial 16S ribosomal RNA
Rfam family: Bacterial small subunit ribosomal RNA
Source: RNAcentral
UACGUAGGGGGGCUAGCGUUGUCCGGAUUUAUUGGGCGUAAAGAGCGUGUAGGCGGCCAGGUAGGUCGCUGUGAAAACUCGAGGCUUAACCUCGAGCUGUCGGCGGAAACCAUCUGGCUAGAGUCCGGAAGAGGAGAAUGGAAUUCCCGGUGUAGCGGUGAAAUGCGCAGAUAUCGGGAAGAACACCCGUGGCGAAGGCGGUUCUCUGGGACGGUACUGACGCUGAGACGCGAAAGCGUGGGGAGCGAACAGG